UUCAAAGAGAAUAUGGGCAGCACCUAGCUAUGGUGUACAGAAACGUACUUGAGAUGAAGCUUUGGGAAAUUUAUUUGGUAAGAAGAACCAAAAACGUUCCUAGCAACAGUAGUUUACAUUGGGGAAUUCAUUUGAACUACUCAAAUGUUCCAGCAACAAUGCUAUGACGUGGAGAAAUUACAUAUUUUCCUUCUUCUCCUCAACUUAAAUUAGGAAAAGUCCUCUUAAGAAAAUUAUGAGCAGCAACGUGUGGAGGUGGAGAUAUCCUCGUGUGUUGAAGAAAAAGGAGAUAAAUGACAUAAAGGUUAUGCCCACGUCGGUUUCCUCCGGAUGGUAGCAAAUCAGAGAUUUCUUUGAAGUGAAGUAAGGUGGAAGAAGAGUAGUUCUUGGCUUAUAAGGUGGAAGUGAUGUGGCUUGAGUUGGUACUGAGAUCAAUUAGACGAAAAGAGGUUCUCUAAAGAGGAAGGCAAGGCUAAGGCUUGGCGAUUCGAGACUGUUGCUCGGCAUUUCAGGUAGGUUACGGCUUACCUUAGUUAGACUUUGAUUAGCGAAACAUAUGUAUUGUGUAGAAUUGACAGGAGAAAGCAUGAUUAGGUCUUCGGACAUGGUGUUUUGGUUGGAUAUUAGCUAGUUCGGUAUGACUUCUGAUUUUGUGAGCUCGUCGCCAUUACUUUAUGUACUGAAAUAUGAGGUGUAGUUGUAUUCAUACUGUGGCGAUUCAGGAUGGUUUUCUAUUAGGUUGAUUGUUGUUGAUAGUGGCUUGUUGCCUUGUUAUUGUGAUUAGACUUAUUGCCUAAAUUAUCGUGUUGUACUGAGUUCUCUCUUAUUGUGGCAUAUGUUAUUGGAGAAAGGAAGGAUAAUGAGUUUAGGCUUGAAUUGUGAUAUAAACUUAUGCCAGUACGUAGAUGAAAACUUGAUGUAUGAUUUAUUGUUGAUGAUAAUAUAUAGCAAAGUGGAGCUUCUUGGUGAUACAAGACUUAGUUGUGAGGCGUACUUGCUACAUGUGGAAGUAAAGAGGGACAUAGACUAUUAUGUUGGUUGAGACGGUUUGUAUGAUUCAUUUCAUGGAUGAGUUGAUCCAAGUCUUGCUAUGACUUGUGGCUUUGUGACUUGUACCUUCACGGUUGCUUUAUUGGUUUGCAUUGAUUUACCACGCUUACACUCAUUUAUGCAUUCAUACACUCAUACAUGAUGGAAAUGGUUUGGGAGACUUGUGCCAUGAUGCCUUGUGUUUGACAUUGAUAUUGCUACUUGUUCAUAGUCCAUACAUACUAGUGAACUGGAAUACGUUGAGACAUACAUGGUGAUGUGAAAUUAGUGAAAAAGUUAAUAUAAUCUUCUUGUUGAACUUGUGAUACUAUUUAAUGCUAGUUGUGAGCUCAUGGUCCGAGGUUCGUUCCGGAAACGAGUAGUAUAUAUAUAUAUAUAUAUAUAUAUGAACAUGCACAUUUGACCGGGGAUGAGGAUGUGACCUAGAUUAUAGGCUCAUGGUCCGAGGUCAGUUCCGGAGCUAGUGGUACAUGAUGUGGAUCCGCGUCCGAGGUUCUUUCCAGAGCGGAGGAUUUAUGGCUCGGGUCCGAUGAGUAUCCGGAACGAGUGGUACAUGGACACCAUGGGUCCCCUGCAGGUCAUGACUACUGAGCAAUGACAUCAGUUAGCAUGUGUGUAUUUGGCCAGCGCAUUGCAUGUGUUGAUACCCAAUUUUGUCCCGCCUUCCUUUCAAAAAAUAUUUAUUGACGUUUCUAAUAUUUUAACAGCUUAAGAAUAGUCAUUUAUACUUUACCGCAAUUUUAAUUUUUCUAUUAAUACCGCCGUUUAUUAUCCAAUUAUAGUUGUGGCCUAUUAUUAUUAUUAUUAUUAUUAUUAUUAUUAUUAUUAUUAUUAUUAUUAUUAUUAUUAUUACUAUUAUUAUAGUCAUUAUUAUUAUAUAAUCGGCAUAAUCACUUUUAACAUUUCCAUUUACCAUCUUACGCAAAAACGCAUCGCAUUUAUCUUAUUACUUACUUUUAAACUUAUAAAUAUUAUCGCGCAACUAUUACGAUAUCAUUUUAUUUGAGUACUAAUAAAUAUAUUUUUAUACUAAUUAAUAUUUUAGCACGCAUUAAUAUAUAAUUACCUAAAGAGUGUCUUUCAUUUAAAUUUAGAAGCCCAAAGAAAUAUAAGAGGAGGUAUUUUCAGUCCAAGAAGACUUCAUACUAGCCCAAAUUCAUAUAAAAAUUUGAUCCUAAUUUGGUUAAUAAUAACCCAAAGGAGAGCCCAAUCCACACAACUCAUUCCAUACAACUUUUCCACGUGAAUUCCACGCAUGGUCAAUAACACACUACAAGCAUACACCUCCCACACUACCAGCACACGUCCCCCACACCCCCCCACACGUCCCUGCCACGUGUCUCCUCUUUAUUGGCUAGUUAAUUGGGAAAAUACCAUUCUGUCCCAACAUAACCAUCCUAAAUGACUAAAAUGACAACCCCCCCCCCCCCAAUCUGAAACCCUAAAUCUGCUCCUAGAUGCCUCUUGUCUCAUUCUUCUCUAGGGCAGGAGAUAUGUUGUCUCUUUGCCUAUUUUGGUCGAUCUGCACCCUUCCGCCAACCGAAUUCAGAUUUUCCCUUCUCAAUUCGGGUAAGUUUUUGCUUUUUCUGCCAAAUUCAGAACCUUUUCUCCCUCUUUUUCUCUGUGGCAGCGACUUCGUGGUCUUCCCGCCCAUUUUCAACUAACGCUUCCACCUCUAUCAACAAUGGUAGAGCAUGGUUUUUCCAUUUUGGAGUAAGAUGCCAGUCCCCUCAUCUCUCCUCUUUAAUAGAGUCAACACAAAAAAACAAAAUAGAAUUCAAGUUUCUGAGAGAAAAUCGAUUUGCAGAGAUUGAUUGUUGACUUAAAACGACUCUUGAUUUUCGUUUUGGAGCCAAAAAAAAAAAGUUAUUUGAAAUCCGAAAACCCUAGUCCGCAGCUAUAAAUAGGAGCUUAUAGCAUUCAUUUGGGAGGGUUAACAGCCAUAGCCUCACUCUAAAAAAAAGCAAAGAACAGCCAACAUAUUACUCUAUUUUCACUUUUCGGUUUGAAGCUUUGGUUAAUUUAAGCGGAUUCGGUUUCGUCGUGUUUUGAGUGUGGAUCCGGGACCUAAAAGCUCUAGUUCACUGCACCUGGAAAAGGUUAGUGUUAUUCAUUCCUUUCCUCUCUGUUCGAUUCAGUCUAGAGUUUUGUUGUGUGUUCACAAUGUUGUUUCCCAUCCUCGUCUUAGUUUUAUCUUUUCAUUCCGUGUAUUUUCAGUUAUGUGAUUAGUUUAGUUUAAUUUUUUAUGUUGAGUCUAGUUGAAUCCUGUAGUGAUGUAUGAAGUAUGAAAUUAUUUGUUCAUCGCUUUACGAAUUCGUUAAGGAUGUAAAAUGUGUUAUGGUAUUGUUCAUUUGUGGAUGUUCAUGGAUAACCUUCUUGGUUUAAUAGUUCAAGCUCUCCCUUACUUCCCUGUUUUUUGGGAAACUAGGAUAUUCAAGUGCAGAUAUUAAAUAGUUGUGUUUUGGAUUUACUUUGAAGAACAAAUAAUUUCCCCUUUCAUUUUCGUGUUCUGUUUCCAUUCGGCCCAUGAGUAUAUUUUUCUGUCCAGGAUUUAAAGAGGAAUGAACGAAGAAGAGCUUAUCUUCUGAAAACAGAAGUACUUUGUUUGAGAUUCUGUUAUGCAGAAUAUGGGUUUAAUCGUAUGUUUCUAGUAUGCUUGAGGUGCAAAUUACUUGUUUAAGUUUGGUUCUUCAUGUUAUGGCCGUGUGAUUCUUUUACUGUAUUACUUUUCUUUUCCACUUAUUAUGAAAUUAUAUUUCACUGCUCUAACUUUCUUUUCUUUUCCUUUUUUUUUUGCAUGACAUCCGGGAUUGCGAGGAGUCUCGAAUGAGACUCGAUUACACCGCGAGAUCAAACGAUUUCAUCACUCCAUUCCGUGUUCCUAAUCCGCCGAAUUCGGCUAAAAAUGAACGAGAAAGGCUGCUGCUUUCUUUUAGCAUAUCUUAUAUUUGUUUAAUUUAAUUAUGUUCGUAGAUGAUUAUUUAGCUACUUUAGAAUAAUUAAUCUAGUGAGGGUUAAUUGGGGCGUUAUUUUAUAAUAAUGGCAGUAUUUUAAGCAUCUUUUGAAGGAAAAAUAAGUUUUCAAUGUUUCGAAGUCUUCAUUCUUGCCAAGUACUUAAAUUAAUCAAGAAAGGUUCAUUUAUAAAGCUAUUUUUCAAAUUUGCACAAGCCAUUUAUCUACCCUAUCUGGUCAUUCAAUAUAUUUGUUUUUAGCUGUUAAAAUCAAUUAAUACC
Long non-coding RNA from Lycium barbarum (goji berry), 4283 nucleotides. RefSeq lists it as uncharacterized. Lineage: Eukaryota; Viridiplantae; Streptophyta; Magnoliopsida; Solanales; Solanaceae. The record is from RefSeq and is a predicted model, not a curated record. The transcript has 3 exons.